ACACCUUUAACCCCAGCACUCAGGAGGCAGAGGCAGGUGGAUCUUUGAGCUAGAGGCCAACCUGGUCUAGAGUGAGUUCCAGGAUAGUUGGGGGGUACACAGAGAAAUUCUGGAGAGAGAGGGGGGAGAGAGAGAGAGAAUAUGAGAAUAAGAAAGUUCAUGGGAUGGAGAGAUGGCUCAGUGUAUAGAGCACUGACUGCUCUUCCAGAGGUCCUGAGUUCAAUUCCCAGCAACCACAUGGUGACUCACAACCAUCUGUAAUGGGAUCUGAUGCCCUCUUCUGGGGUGUCUGAAGACAGUGAUAGUGUACUCACAUACUUGAAAUAAAUAAAUAAAUCUUAAAAAAAAAAAAAAAAGAGUUCGGAUCAGGAUUUCUGUGAGGAUGGGGGUGGGUGGGGACUCUAGUAGGUACCUGCACAUCCAGGAGGGAGAAGAAUAAACUAUGGUUGUACAGUGCGAACCCCACUUUCCCUUUCCCUGUAGGGUACAGGCCAGGAGGCAAGCCACACAGUCUGAGUGCCAAGGAACAUGUGUCAGCUCUUUCCUCUUGUUUGUGUCCCUUCCUCUGCCUACCUGCGCAGUGGUCACUAGGCCCGUGUUGACAGCUCAGCCGUGUGAAAGCGCAGAAUAGCUGCAGUGGAUGUUAACUGCACAGAGACCUUGCCGAGGGACAUAGAACUCGUUCAGAAAGCUGUCAUAGGCCCAGUGUAAACCAUGUGCUGGGUACGAGGCUGUAACAUAGGCUUAAUUUUGUGGGACUCUUGUGCAGGCCAAGGAGGUUCCAACAAGAACUGUGGUUUGUGUGACAGGCAAUGCAUGUUUAUGCCUUUCUAAGUCCAUGGCUGUGAACACACCGUCAGCCCUGUCCAGGGGGCUCUGUGUCUGCCUGUGGUGAUGGGACAAAGCUGUGUGGCUUUGGUCAUGGCACUCUCCUUGGAGCUUCAGGUGACAGUAAGGUGGGAACACUGGCCCCAUUUCUUGCCUCUGGGGUACCCAUAGAGUGCUUGGCUUAUGCCAUGUACAUGCGAUAACUCUAACCAGAUGGCUCUGAACUUCCGAAUUUUUUUUUUUAGUUUCUUUUUUUCUUUCUUUCUUUUUUUUUUUAAAGAUUUAUUUAUUUUAUGUAUGUGAGUAUACUGUAGCUAUACAGAUGGUUGUGCGCCUUCAUGUGGUUCCUUCAUGUGGUUGUUGGGAAUUGAAUUUUUAGGACCUCUGCUCGCUCAAGACCAAGCUGGUAAAGUCAGCUACUUACUCCGGCCCAAAGAUUUCUUUAUUAUUAUACAUAAGUACACUGUAGCUGUCUUCAGACGCACCAGAAGACGGUGUCAGAUCUCAUUGCGGGUGGUUGUGAGCCACCAUGUGGUUGCUGGGAUUUGAACUCAGGACCUUUGGAAGAACAGUCAGUGCUCUUACCUGCUGAGCCAUCUCUCCAGCCCUGAGCUUCUGAUUCUUUAUUUUACCUCCCCAUGCUGGGAAUACAGGCAUGGGCUCACAUCCCAUUUCCUAUGGUGCUGGGGACAGCGCUCAGCACCCUGUGCGCGCUCUGCAAGCAUCCCACCAAGUGAGGCACUAUCCCUUAGCAUUGAGGUUUAUUUUGAGACCGAAUGUCACCAUGCUAUCUAGGCUGGCCUUGAACUUGAAGCAUUCUUCCUGCCUCUCAGCCUGCCUCAACUUUCCAAAUCCUGAAAUUUACAGUGUUCUAUGUAGCUGAGCUUGUUGUGGAACUCACUAGGUAGAUCAGGCUAUCCUUGAAAUCAUAGAGACCUUCCUGCCUUUGCCUCCUGAGUGCUGGGAUUAAAGGUAGAACCACCAUGCCCAUCUCAAUCUCUCUCUCUCUCUCUCUCUCUCUCUCUCUCUCUGUGUGUGUGUGUGUGUGUUCUUUGGAAUGAAUGGAGUGUGGGGUGAGCUUAAGCUUUGGGCAUCCAUGUCCUACUGGACUCAGGAAAGUUUGCUCAUAGUUGACAGGCACCUGAAGUCCCUGAUUUGAUCUUGAAGCUUCUGGUGGGUAUUGGAUGAUUUUUUUUCUCUCCCUCUAGCUUGGACUCUUCUGGAUUCUCAGAUGGGAAAACUGAAAUGAUCUAAAUGUUAGGAGGCUAGUAGGGUCACAAGGUCAAGGCCAGCCUGGAGUACAUAGGAGACCCUGCCUCAGAAAGAAAGGAAGAAAGAAAGAAGGAAGGAAGGAAGGAAGGAAGGAAGGAAGGAGAGAAAGAAAGAAAGAAAGAAAGAAAGAAAGAAAGAA
RNAcentral lists this long non-coding RNA (2239 nucleotides) under Mus musculus (house mouse). Its description in RNAcentral is "long non-coding RNA chr2:32885617-32887856". The record is from RNAcentral. Lineage: Eukaryota; Metazoa; Chordata; Mammalia; Rodentia; Muridae.